UCAGACGAUGCGUCAUGCAUAUCAAUAAGCGGAGGAAAAGAAACUAACAAGGAUUCCCCUAGUAACGGCGAGUGAAGCGGGAAGAGCUCAAAUUUGAAAUCUUAAAGGGUUUCCCUUUACGAAUUGUAGUUUAAAGAAGUGUUUUCUGUUGAGGUUUUGGUAAAAGUUCUUUGGAAUAGGACAUCAUAGAGGGUGAGAAUCCCGUAUUUGACCUUUACUUUCAACUUUGUGAUACACUUUCAAAGAGUCGGAUUGUUUGGGAAUGCAGUCCAAAAUGGGUGGUAAAUUUCAUCUAAAGCUAAAUAUUGGCGAGAGACCGAUAGCGAACAAGUACCGUGAGGGAAAGGAUGUAAAGAACUUUGAAAAGAGAGUUAAACAGUACGUGAAAUUGUCAAAAGGGAAGCGUUUGACACCAGUGUUGUUUUUCUGAAAAUCAAUUAAAGAACUGUUUAUGCUAAGUUGUUUAGACUUUAUCAGCUAUCUGUUUAGUUUUGAGCUUUUCUUUAAUGCACUUUUCAGUUAACAAGUCAACAUCAAUUUCUUUUGCUGUAAAAAAGCUUGAGGAAGGUGGCCUGAGAUUCGUCUUAAGUGUUUAUAGCCUCUUGCCUAUGCAGUCGGAGAGAUUGAGGUCUGCAGCGUAGAUCCUUCGGGGCUAAAUGCAUUUGUGCUAAGUUAUAGCAUUUUAUAGACAACUUGUUGACUAUGAUUUGUCUUGUAGCUUACUCGCUUAUGUUAUUUUACCUACGCUUAGGAUGUUGACACACGCGCGUGCUCG
This 775-nucleotide ribosomal RNA is filed under the name uncultured Neocallimastigales. Its description in RNAcentral is "partial large subunit ribosomal RNA". It matches the Rfam family "Eukaryotic large subunit ribosomal RNA", at positions 18 to 643 of the family's 3401-position model. Lineage: Eukaryota; Fungi; Neocallimastigomycota; Neocallimastigomycetes; Neocallimastigales. The record is from RNAcentral.